This is a non-coding RNA of Zootermopsis nevadensis, 73 nucleotides long. Lineage: Eukaryota; Metazoa; Arthropoda; Insecta; Blattodea; Termopsidae. The record is from Rfam.
GCCACGGUGGUCUAGCGGUUAGAACGCUGGCCUUGUAAUCCUGGGGUCUCGGGUUCGAUUCCCGGCGGUGCCC